Elaeis guineensis (African oil palm) is the source of this 964-nucleotide non-coding RNA. NCBI's taxonomy places the organism in Eukaryota, Viridiplantae, Streptophyta, Magnoliopsida, Arecales, Arecaceae. The record is from RefSeq and is a predicted model, not a curated record.
CUAUAUAAUUCUCCGGCGAGGUAACAACAGUUUCCACAUCCUCUAAAAUUCAAUGGGAUCUGUCUAUAAUGGAGAGAUUUACGAAUAGGGUCACAAGAGAACUUCUUUUAAUAGAGUUGCCCCCCCCCCCCAUUUGGAGGAAGGAUAAAGGUUUGGCAUUCCGUAGAACACAAAGCUUUUCUCCUCAUCCUCGCUGCUUCUCUUUCUCUACAUCUGGGCCUCACCCAGAACCCGUAUUAAGAAUGAUCUCCUUUUUUCCUUUCUCGGUUCUACAAGUAUCUGGUUUCUCGUUAAAGGAGGCAGUUUUGCGUGCUUCUUGGAGUGGAUGGAUUGUGAUCAGAAGGGCACAGCUUUAUUGGCAAGAUGCGAUUUUGAUCUAAUUUUUGAGAUGGAAUAUUGUAGGCGGGGAAAAAGAUGUUUUGGUUCCAUGAAGAAGGCAAAUCAAAUAUCACAAUGGCCAAUCUUAAGAAUUUCUCAGAUAAUUUGACUGCUACUAAGAAGAUCGGGACAAUUCCAUGAAGAUUCAAGAUGUGUUGGACUGUAUGAUUACUUUGAAUCAUUGCCGCGGCCGCAAUGCUCCUUGUGGCCUUUCCUGGAUUCUAUGUUUGGGAAGCGACAACAGGUCAUGACCUGCUGGUAUGGUGUGGAAGUUUGAAACGGAGAAUAAAACCAUUCUGUUGGUUCCAAAUGUUUAGCCACCAUAUCUAGUGCCAUAAUGUUGCAUGUUACCGAGAAUAUCAUAGACCUUGGAGGUGCAGAUUAGCACAAGAGCAAAGCGGAAACAAAGCCCCCCUCCAAGUGAUGUUCGUGAUUCGUGAAUAAAUUACAAAUGUCGGAUUGCUCUGGAUGACAAAUUUUCUGUGGUGAUACUUUAUUUCCCAACUGAUUAACCAUUUGCUGUGAUACUCUCUUUCCUUUAAGAACAAAUUUCUGUAAGUUAUGUGCCGCGCUAUGGUUAUGGCAG